This 525-nucleotide long non-coding RNA is filed under the name Lepisosteus oculatus (spotted gar). RNAcentral's name for it is "lncRNA (ENSLOCG00000023037.1)". The record is from RNAcentral. Lineage: Eukaryota; Metazoa; Chordata; Actinopteri; Semionotiformes; Lepisosteidae.
AUGCAGGAGCUCUGUCACUCAUCGAUAUGCCACCCUCUCAUCUUCCAAAGAGGACACGUGACAGUUCUGAGGAGCAGGAUGAAGAGCUGGAGAUACCAGUUUGAUUUCCAGAUUUCGACUGAGAGGUUAAAAGAACAGAAUUCUCUCAGAUCAAAUGCGAGACAGUCUCCCACUCUGAGAAUGGCAAGGCUAGAUCAAUCACUGCAGGCAGUGCCCAAGUUUAUCGUAGCCUAUACUGAGAUGUUUCAGCCUUCCCGUGACUCAAUAGGAUACAGACUUACAAAAUAAAUGCUGAAAGGAUUACAUGAGAGUCUGGACAGGCAGAAAAAAAAAACAGCCUUCUGCAGUGUAAUCUGCCAGAAUGGAGAAAAGAGAUCUGUUCGAACCCGUAUCCCAGCUGGUAAGAGGAAUCCCAGCUGGAACAGCAAGCUUACAUAAGAAAAUACUAUUUUUGUAAAAAAUAAAAACUGAUUGUAAAGAAUAAAACAUUAAAGUACCCCCCCCCCCUUCUUUAAUAGCCAAAAA